AGGACGAACGCUGGCGGCGUGCAUAAAACAUGCAAGUCGGACGAACAAAAUCCCGCAAGGGAUUAGUUAGUGGCGAACGGCUGAGUAACACGUAGGUGACCUGCCCCGAAGUGGGGGACAACUCGCCGAAAGGCGAGCUAAUACCGCAUGUGACCACCGGUUCGUUCCGGUGCUCAAAGCAGUAAUGCGCUUCGGGAGGGGCCUGCGGCGGAUUAGCUAGUUGGUGGGGUAAUGGCCUACCAAGGCUUCGAUCCGUAGC
RNAcentral lists this ribosomal RNA (259 nucleotides) under uncultured soil bacterium. Its description in RNAcentral is "partial 16S ribosomal RNA". It matches the Rfam family "Bacterial small subunit ribosomal RNA", at positions 26 to 287 of the family's 1533-position model. The record is from RNAcentral.